Molecule: ribosomal RNA, 532 nt
Filed under: uncultured fungus
Lineage: Eukaryota; Fungi
Description: SSU rRNA
Rfam family: Eukaryotic small subunit ribosomal RNA
Source: RNAcentral
GUUAUCGUUUAUUUGAUAGUACCUUACUACUUGGAUAACCGUGGUAAUUCUAGAGCUAAUACAUGCUGAAAACCCCAACUUCGGGAGGGGUGUAUUUAUUAGAUAAAAAACCAACGCCCUUCGGGGCUUCUUGGUGAUUCAUGAUAACUUCACGGAUCGCAUGGCCUGGCGCCGGCGACGGUUCAUUCAAAUUUCUGCCCUAUCAACUUUCGAUGGUAAGGUAUUGGCUUACCAUGGUUUCAACGGGUAACGGGGAAUUAGGGUUCGAUUCCGGAGAGGGAGCCUGAGAAACGGCUACCACAUCCAAGGAAGGCAGCAGGCGCGCAAAUUACCCAAUCCCGACACGGGGAGGUAGUGACAAUAAAUACUGAUACAGGGCUCUUUUGGGUCUUGUAAUUGGAAUGAGUACAAUUUAAACCUCUUAACGAGGAACAAUUGGAGGGCAAGUCUGGUGCCAGCAGCCGCGGUAAUUCCAGCUCCAAUAGCGUAUAUUAAAGUUGUUGCAGUUAAAAAGCUCGUAGUUGAAACUUGG